Molecule: ribosomal RNA, 649 nt
Filed under: uncultured Ascomycota
Lineage: Eukaryota; Fungi; Ascomycota
Description: SSU rRNA
Rfam family: Eukaryotic small subunit ribosomal RNA
Source: RNAcentral
AACCUGGUUGAUCCUGCCAGUAGUCAUAUGCUUGUCUCAAAGAUUAAGCCAUGCAUGUCUAAGUAUAAGCAAUUAUACGGCGAAACUGCGAAUGGCUCAUUAUAUAAGUUAUCGUUUAUUUGAUAGUACCUUACUACUUGGAUAACCGUGGUAAUUCUAGAGCUAAUACAUGCUAAAAAUCCCGACUUCGGAAGGGAUGUAUUUAUUAGAUUAAAAACCAAUGCCCUUCGGGGCUCACUGGUGAUUCAUGAUAACUUCUCGAAUCGCAUGGCCUUGUGCCGGCGAUGGUUCAUUCAAAUUUCUUCCCUAUCAACUUUCGAUGUUUGGGUAUUGGCCAAACAUGGUUGCAACGGGUAACGGAGGGUUAGGGCUCGACCCCGGAGAAGGAGCCUGAGAAACGGCUACUGCAUCCAAGGAAGGCAGCAGGCGCGCAAAUUACCCAAUCCCGACUCGGGGAGGUAGUGACAAUAAAUACUGAUACAGGGCUCUAUUGGGUCUUGUAAUUGGAAUGAGUACAAUUUAAAUCCCUUAACGAGGAACAAUUGGAGGGCAAGUCUGGUGCCAGCAGCCGCGGUAAUUCCAGCUCCAAUAGCGUAUAUUAAAGUUGUUGUGGUUAAAAAGCUCGUAGGUGAACCUGCAGAAGGAUCAA